RNAcentral lists this ribosomal RNA (151 nucleotides) under Microdochium sp. RNAcentral's name for it is "partial large subunit ribosomal RNA". The record is from RNAcentral. Lineage: Eukaryota; Fungi; Ascomycota; Sordariomycetes; Xylariales; Microdochiaceae.
AAGGGCUUAUGACCAGACCUUUGCCUUGCGGAUCAUCCGGUGUUCUCACCGGUGCACUCCGCUUGGUUGAGGCCAGCAUCAGUUUUGGCGGCGGGAUAAAGACUUUAGGAAUGUGACUCCCCCGGGAGUGUUAUAGCCUACUGUGUAAUAC